Molecule: unclassified non-coding RNA, 2247 nt
Filed under: Hevea brasiliensis (rubber tree)
Lineage: Eukaryota; Viridiplantae; Streptophyta; Magnoliopsida; Malpighiales; Euphorbiaceae
Source: RNAcentral
AAAAAGAAAAAGAAAAGAAAGCAAUAAUUUGAAUUGGGCAAGUUCCAGUUCAGAACCGCCAAUUCAAACUGGCUGAUUCUAGUGCUGCUUCAAGGGGCCCAUUAGGGAAGUUUCAUUAACCAGAGCCGUUGACCUAGGACAGCCCCAAUCCGAUUCAUUGUUCGAACCAGCCCUUGACCAGUCUAUCCCUCCUUUACUUUUCUGUAUUGAUUUUAACCCACAAGGUUUUGUAAAUGUAAUUUCCAUUCGUCAUUAGUAAAAAUUGUUGGAAGACUGAGAACUUGCUUUGAAAAAAGAGAUCUUGUCUUUCAAGAAUGACUUGUAGUUUUCCAAAAACACACUUUCCUACAAGUAUUAAUUGUUUAGAAUAUCCAAGAGUUUUCUUGUAAUGCGGAAUAUCCAAGAGAUAUUGUUUCCUAUGUAAAAUGAAUUUUCUACUCCUGCACUCCUAUCUUCGCAAUUGAGAAUUUUUAGAUCUGGGAUGUCAAAAUGAAGGAUUAUUUAAAAGCAUUUCAUUUGUGGGAUGUGCUUGAAACUAGGAGAUAUCCUCCAUCGCUUCCAGAAGAAAGUGCCGAAAGUUUGUACGCACUAGGUUGUAUUCAUUCAGUUGGACUGGUAUUAUAUUCAUAAGAAUCAUAACUUGUAAAUCUGCAAAAGAAGCUUGGCAUAAGCUUAAGGAGGAGUUCAUGACAAGUGAGAGAACUAGACAUGCAAGUUAUAAAUUUAAGAAGAUCACUUGAAGUUUAAAAAUGAAAAGACUCAGAAAAUAAAAAGAAGUAUGCUGACAGACUUAUGAAAAUUGCGAAUCAGAUUAGAUUGACGAGGUGAAGAGAUCUCCAAUAGAAGAAUGGUCAUUGUCAGCUUGCCGAAGAGAUUUGAAGCUAAAAUUUCUUCACUUCAAGACUAAGACAUCUAUUAACUUUGUCAGAUAUGAGAGCACUUAGGGAUGAAGAUGCAACUGAUGGAGCUUUUCGGCCUCAACACAAGAAUAAAGUACAACUGAGUAAUGAGGGAAGAAAGCAUUUUUCAGAAAAGAAAGAAAAUGAAGGAAAAGAAAUUGAAAGCAGUAAGAAUGGGGAAAGGCAAGGCAAAUUCCCUCCUUGUGGCGUUUGCAAAAGGACUAACUAUUUGGAAAGGUAUUGUUGGGCAAAAAUCGAAUAUGGACACUGCAAUAAAUAUGGUCACAUUGAAAAGUUUGGCAGACUCGAGCAAAAUCAAGAGUAACAACAACUGCUCAACAAAUGAACUUUGUUGAAGAUCACCAUCAACAUACUAAUCAUUUAUUCAUGGUAUCUCAAAAAAUGACAACUACAUCUAGUUUGUAUAUAGUUGAUGCACAAAUCGUAUGACCAGGGAUGUUUCUCUCUUAACUUCUUCGGAUGGAUCAGUCAAAACUAAAGUGAAGUUGGGUAUUGUUGAUAUGGUUCAGGCAGAGGGAAAAGGUUUUGUUUCUGUGCAAACCAAAAAAGGUACAAAGAUUUUCUCUGAUGUUUUAUUUAUUCCUUGCUUAAAUCAAAAUUUGCUAAGUUUAUCUCAGAUGUUGAAGAAGGGAUAUUUGGUAUUCUACAAAGAUAACUACUGCAGGGAUAUUUGGUAUUCUACAAAAAUAACUACUGCACUAUCUAUUAUCCAUGUAGUUGUGAGAUAGCUUGUUUUUAAUACGGUUGAUAAAAGUUUUCCAUUAAACUUCGAUUCUGUCAAGCAUCAUGGUAGUGAUACCAAAACUGAUGAAGAAAAACCUCCGGAUUUAGGAAAGAAUCAGCAGAAUGUGAAGGAUGAGCUUUCAAUGACUGAGAAAGAUCAAAGAUAUUUUUGGUGUACUGAAAAUCAGAUGACCUAAUGAUUGAUCUUUUAGGGAAAGCUAUAUUUGAAGAAUUAAGGAGAAAGUUUGGAGUUACAAAGAAAUUCUCAAGGAGCGUUGGAAUAUUGAGAAGUAAAAGAGCAACAAGAGAUUUUUAGCCUUUCAAGAUGACUUGCAGUUUUCCAAGAAAACGUUAUCUAAGAAGUAUUGAUUGUUUAGAAUAUCUAAGAAUUUUCUUGUAAUGUGUGAGAGUAUUUAUCUAGUUUCCUAUAUAAGGAGACCUAUUUCAUAACAAUUUGUUAAAAAGAAAAUAGAAAAAGUUUUCUUCAAAAAACUUCAUUUCUAAUCUCUUAUCAUUGCUUAUCUACUUCAAUAGUGAGAUUAAAGCAUGAAUCAGCUUAACUCCAAAAAAUUCAACAAAAAUAAAUUUGUAAUGGUCAUGUUAC